AUGGAGGCGGUUCCCCUGCUGCUCCUCCUGCUCCUCCUCCUCUCCUCCCCUCUCGCGCCGGCGCCGGCCAACGGCCUCCUCUCACCCAAGGGCGUAAACUACGAAGUGCAAGCUCUCAUGACGAUCAAGAACUACCUCAAGGAUCCCCAUGGCGUGCUCAAGAACUGGGACCAGGACUCGGUGGAUCCUUGCAGCUGGACCAUGGUCACCUGCUCGCAGGAAAACCUCGUCACUGGCCUGGAAGCCCCAAGCCAGAACCUCUCUGGCCUGCUCUCCCCGAGCAUAGGCAAUCUGACCAAUCUCGAGAUAGUGCUGCUGCAGAACAACAACAUCAAUGGCCGAAUCCCGGCAGAGAUUGGCAGGCUCACGAAGCUUAGGACGCUUGAUCUCUCCAGCAACCACUUCUCUGGCGAAAUCCCCGGCUCCGUGAGCCGCCUCAGAGACCUCCAGUACUUGAGGCUCAACAACAACACCCUGUCCGGCGCAUUCCCUUCGGCGUCGGCUAAUCUGUCGCACCUUGUUUUCUUGGAUCUGUCCUACAAUAAUCUGAGCUGUCCAGUUCCAGGGUCUUUGGCAAGGACAUUCAACAUAGUAGGGAAUCCACUGAUCUGCGGAGCAGCUACAGAACAAGAUUGUUAUGGAACUUUGCCGAUGCCGAUGUCCUACAGCCUGAAUAACACACAAGGUACCGUACUGCCAGCAAAAUCUAAGAGCCACAAAGCCGCAAUUGCAUUUGGUUCUACGAUAGGCUGCAUCAGCAUCCUUUUCCCAGUGACGGGAUUGCUGUUCUGGUGGAGGCAUAGGAAAAAUCGGCAGAUUCUUUUCGAUGUCGAUGACCAGCACAUAGAGAACGUCAACCUUGAAAACCUGAAGAGGUUUCAGUUCAGAGAGCUCCAGGCUGCAACGGAGAACUUCAGCAGCAAGAACAUGAUAGGAAAAGGCGGUUUUGGAAAUGUUUAUCGAGGGAAGCUCCCAGAUGGAACUAUAGUAGCAGUCAAGAGGCUGAAAGAUGGAAAUGCCGCAGGCGGGGAAUUGCAAUUUCAGACUGAAGUCGAGAUGAUCAGCUUGGCAGUGCACCGGAAUCUCCUUAGGCUCUGCGGGUUCUGCAUGACUGCCACCGAGAGGCUACUUAUCUAUCCAUACAUGUCCAAUGGAAGUGUUGCAUCACGCCUGAAAGGGAAGCCACCACUGAACUGGAUCACCAGAAAGGGAAUAGCCCUCGGCGCAGCAAGAGGCCUACUAUACCUGCACGAGCAGUGUGAUCCCAAGAUCAUCCACAGGGAUGUAAAGGCAGCAAAUGUACUGCUCGAUGACUUCUGUGAAGCAAUUGUUGGAGAUUUUGGGCUUGCCAAGCUCCUGGAUCACCGUGACUCGCAUGUUACCACAGCUGUGAGGGGAACUGUAGGCCACAUUGCUCCAGAGUACCUCUCCACGGGCCAGUCAUCUGAGAAAACUGAUGUCUUCGGCUUCGGGAUCCUGCUGCUAGAACUGAUCACCGGGCAGACUGCACUUGAGUUUGGAAAGUCAUCAAAUCAGAAGGGAGCCAUGCUUGACUGGGUGAAGAAGAUGCACCAGGAGAAGAAGCUCGACGUGCUUGUCGACAAGGGACUCGGAAGCAGUUACGACCACAUUGAGCUAGAGGAGAUGGUGCAGGUGGCGCUGCUUUGCACCCAGUAUCUCCCCAGUCACAGGCCUAAGAUGUCGGAGGUGGUCAGGAUGCUCGAAGGAGAUGGGCUCGCAGAGCGGUGGGAGGCGUCGCAGCGUACUGACUCGCACAAGUUCAAGGUGCCCGACUUCACCUUUGGGCGUUGCUACUCCGACCUGACAGACGAUUCAUCAUUGCUGGUGCAAGCAGUUGAGCUCUCCGGACCAAGAUGA
Molecule: ribosomal RNA, 1878 nt
Filed under: Triticum aestivum (bread wheat)
Lineage: Eukaryota; Viridiplantae; Streptophyta; Magnoliopsida; Poales; Poaceae
Description: partial small subunit ribosomal RNA
Source: RNAcentral